Molecule: non-coding RNA, 516 nt
Organism: Fukomys damarensis (Damara mole-rat)
Lineage: Eukaryota; Metazoa; Chordata; Mammalia; Rodentia; Bathyergidae
Source: Rfam
UUUCGCGAGGGGCAGAGCCCGCCUCUCCCUAGGACCUUGACCUCGUGCGGACCUCGCCGCCACGUUUAGCUCUAGCUCUCCCUGACCUGCUUUUAAACCUGCUAAUCCCGGCCGGGACUCUCACCCCGCGGAGAUCCCUCGCCCCAGCCCCGCGCUCUAAUUCCCGUUGACCGCCCAGUGCGGGAGACGAAAGUUCUGGGCCUCCGAGCGGUGAUCGGGUGCGCAACCGGGUCCGUCCCGCUUCGGCCGUGACCACACUCCAAGGCCCGAUCCAAGCACACAGCCUCCAGCUACAAACUGCCGUCCUGUUUCUUCGGUUCCUCCCAGUUUAUUCCAUUUGUUGCUCUAAGCAACCCAAAGAUCGAAAUCUUUGGUAACACACGGAAGUGGAGACGCUGCGGUGCUGCAGGGACCUUCCCCGCUGCGGCCGGCAGUAGGAAGCGGACGGAGGACGCGGCUGCCAGGAGCGAGCGCCACUGGCCAGCAAGGGGAAAAGGCUGGAAGAGCAGUGGGCAA